CCCUAGCCCAGAUUGCAGCAUUUGUUUGAGCUCAUUUUAUGGGUUUUCGGGGGCUGCGGCAAAGCCGCAGCCCCCGAAAACCCAUAAAAUAGCGAGUGCGGAAAGCUGGAAAAAGC
Molecule: unclassified non-coding RNA, 116 nt
Filed under: Chryseobacterium wanjuense
Lineage: Bacteria; Pseudomonadati; Bacteroidota; Flavobacteriia; Flavobacteriales; Weeksellaceae
Description: Flavo-1 RNA
Source: RNAcentral